AGUGAACGCUGGCGGUAGGCCUAACACAUGCAAGUCGAACGGCAGCACAGUAAGCGCUUGCUCUUACGGGUGGCGAGUGGCGGACGGGUGAGGAAUACAUCGGAAUCUACUUUUUCGUGGGGGAUAACGUAGGGAAACUUACGCUAAUACCGCAUACGACCUACGGGUGAAAGCAGGGGAUCUUCGGACCUUGCGCGAUUGACUGAGCCGAUGUCGGAUUAGCUAGUUGGCGGGGUAAAGGCCCACCAAGGCGACGAUCCGUAGCUGGUCUGAGAGGUUGAUCAGCCACACUGGAACUGAGACACGGUCCAGACUCCUACGGGAGGCAGCAGUGGGGAAUAUUGGACAAUGGGCGCAAGCCUGAUCCAGCCAUACCGCGUGAGUGAAGAAGGCCUUCUGGUUGUAAAGCCCUUUUGUUGGGAAAGAAAAGCAUCAGGUUAAUACCCCGCUGUUCUGACGGUACCCAAAGAAUAAGCACCGGCUAGCUUCGUG
Molecule: ribosomal RNA, 492 nt
Filed under: uncultured bacterium
Lineage: Bacteria
Description: partial 16S ribosomal RNA
Rfam family: Bacterial small subunit ribosomal RNA
Source: RNAcentral